Molecule: ribosomal RNA, 440 nt
Filed under: uncultured Sphingomonadaceae bacterium
Lineage: Bacteria; Pseudomonadati; Pseudomonadota; Alphaproteobacteria; Sphingomonadales; Sphingomonadaceae
Description: bacterial SSU rRNA
Rfam family: Bacterial small subunit ribosomal RNA
Source: RNAcentral
CCUACGGGAGGCUGCAGUGGGGAAUAUUGGACAAUGGGCGAAAGCCUGAUCCAGCAAUGCCGCGUGAGUGAAGAAGGCCUUCGGGUUGUAAAGCUCUUUCACCCGGGAAGAUAAUGACUGUACCGGGAGAAUAAGCCCCGGCUAACUCCGUGCCAGCAGCCGCGGUAAUACGGAGGGGGCUAGCGUUGUUCGGAAUUACUGGGCGUAAAGCGUACGUAGGCGGCUUUUUAAGUCAGAGGUGAAAUCCCACGACUCAAUCGUGGAACUGCCUUUGAGACUGGAUCGCUUGAAGAUGGGAGAGGUAAGUGGAAUUCCGAGUGUAGAGGUGAAAUUCGUAGAUAUUCGGAAGAACACCAGUGGCGAAGGCGGCUUACUGGACCAUUCUUGACGCUGAGGUACGAAAGCGUGGGGAGCAAACAGGCUUAGAUACCCCGGUAGUC